Molecule: long non-coding RNA, 361 nt
Filed under: Parus major (Great Tit)
Lineage: Eukaryota; Metazoa; Chordata; Aves; Passeriformes; Paridae
Description: lncRNA (ENSPMJG00000015550.1)
Source: RNAcentral
UCCAGGAGAAGAAGACCUUUUUACCCAGUCAACAGAAAAGCUACAGAGAACUUGAGCAGUAUCAAGAGAGAUGGAUACCUUCACAGAAGACAUACAGCGAACUGGCAAAUCUUUGGAGCAGGCUGUUUGCUGCAGACAGUGACUGAGAGUCCAAGAACUGGACAGAAGACAGAGACACAAAUAUAUGUUCCACAUGAUGUAUGUCUGUCCAGACCCUAUGCAAGCUGUCCAAGUCAAAAGGAUCAGCUUGGAGUUAUAACAAUUUCUAUACAAAAAUAUUUUUAGACCCUGGCAUAAAGUAACACACUGUUUUUUUUUUUUUUAAAAUAAAUAUUUUUGGUGUGGAAAUAUUGAAAUUGGA